RNAcentral lists this non-coding RNA (126 nucleotides) under human gut metagenome. RNAcentral's name for it is "THF riboswitch". It matches the Rfam family "THF (Tetrahydrofolate) riboswitch aptamer". From Rfam's summary of the family: THF riboswitch presents a pseudoknot that joins P1-P2 and the loop of P3 and two THF binding. The record is from RNAcentral.
CAGAGUAGGACGCAAAGCGUUAGCGCGUUUUCAAAAAAAACGCCGCUUGAAGUGCCGUCGGAACAGGGAGUUGUCCGCGGACGAAGUCGCUUUUCGCAACGCGGUUUUGCGUCCGCAUCCCGCUGU